CUCUUGCUUCACAUAAGAGGUCCAGCCUGCCCAGUGAAAUUUUAACGGCCGCGGUACCCUGACCGUGCGAAGGUAGCAUAAUCACUCGUUCUCUAAAUAGGGACUUGUAUCAAUGGCAUCACGAGGGUCAUACUGUCUCCUCUCUCCAAUCAGUGAACCUAAUCUCCCCGUGAAGAAGCGGGGUUGCACCCAUAAGACGAGAAGACCCCAUGGAGCUUUAAACCUUAAAGCAAUUUAAAUAAAAUAUUUCCACAUAUACUUUAGAUAUGCAUGAAGGUUUUGGGUUGGGGUGACCGCGGAGUAAAAACAAACCUCCACAACGAAAAGAACUAAAUCUUUAUCUAAGAACUACUAUUCUAAGAAUCAACACACUGACGAAUACUGAUCCAAUAAUCGAUCAAUGAACCAAGUUACCCUGGGGAUAACAGCGCAAUCUACUUCGAGAGCUCAUAUCGACAAGUAGGCUUACGACCUCGAUGUUGGAUCAGGGUAUCCCAGUGGUGCAGCCGCUACUAAUGGUUCGUUUGUUCAACGAUUAAACCCC
Molecule: ribosomal RNA, 544 nt
Filed under: Chiromantis rufescens (African foam-nest treefrog)
Lineage: Eukaryota; Metazoa; Chordata; Amphibia; Anura; Rhacophoridae
Description: partial large subunit ribosomal RNA
Rfam family: Bacterial large subunit ribosomal RNA
Source: RNAcentral